Molecule: ribosomal RNA, 465 nt
Filed under: uncultured bacterium
Lineage: Bacteria
Description: partial 16S ribosomal RNA
Rfam family: Bacterial small subunit ribosomal RNA
Source: RNAcentral
CCUACGGGAGGCAGCAGUGGGGAAUAUUGCGCAAUGGGCGAAAGCCUGACGCAGCGACGCCGCGUGAGGGAUGAAGGUCUUCGGAUCGUUAACCUCUGUCAGCAGGGAAGAACGGUCACUGUGCUAAUCAGCAGUGAAUUGACGGUACCUGCAAAGGAAGCACCGGCUAACUCCGUGCCAGCAGCCGCGGUAAUACGGAGGGUGCGAGCGUUAAUCGGAAUUACUGGGCGUAAAGCGCUCGUAGGCGGUAUGUCAAGUCAAGGGUGAAAUCCCCGCGCUCAACGUGGGAACUGCCUUUGAAACUGGCAAACUGGAGUGUGUGAGAGGAUAGUGGAAUGCCAGGUGUAGGGGUGAAAUCCGUAGAUAUCUGGAGGAACAUCAGUGGCGAAGGCGACUAUCUGGCACAUAACUGACGCUGAGGAGCGAAAGCGUGGGUAGCAAACAGGAUUAGAUACCCGAGUAGUC